This 301-nucleotide ribosomal RNA is filed under the name uncultured bacterium. RNAcentral describes it as "partial 16S ribosomal RNA". It matches the Rfam family "Bacterial small subunit ribosomal RNA", at positions 509 to 809 of the family's 1533-position model. The record is from RNAcentral.
CAGUAGCCGCGGUAAUACGUAGGGGGCGAGCGUUGUCCGAAGUUACUGGGCGUAAAGAGCGCGUAGGCUGGUCUUUAAGUGAGUGGUGAAAGGUUCGGGCUCAACCCGGACACUGCCUUUCAUACUGGGGACCUUGAGUGUGGGAGAGGCGAGUGGAAUGGUCGGUGUAGCGGUGAAAUGCGUAGAUAUCGAUCGGAACACCCAUGGCGAAGGCAGCUCGCUGGCCUAACACUGACGCUGAGGCGCGAAAGCGUGGGGAGCAAACAGGAUUAGAUACCCCCGUAGUCCCUGUCUCUUAUAA